This 468-nucleotide ribosomal RNA is filed under the name uncultured bacterium. RNAcentral describes it as "partial 16S ribosomal RNA". It matches the Rfam family "Bacterial small subunit ribosomal RNA", at positions 28 to 507 of the family's 1533-position model. The record is from RNAcentral.
GACGAACGCUGGCGGCGUGCUUAACACAUGCAAGUCGAACGGAAAGGCCCUGCGUUUGUGGCGUGCUCGAGUGGCGAACGGGUGAGUAACACGUGAGUAACUUCCCCUCGACUUUGGGAUAACUUCCGGAAUCUAGUGCCAAUUCCGGCUAGGAGCUCCUGCUGCGUGGUGGGGGUGGGAAAGUUUCGGCGGUUGGGGACGGACUCGCGGCUGUUCCGCGUGUUGGUGGGGCAGUGACAUCCCAAGGCUUUGACGGGUCGCCCGCCGGAGAGGGUGACCGGCCACAUUGGGACUGAGGAACGGCCCAGACUCCUACGGGGGGCAGCGGUGGGGAAGAGUGCACAAUGGGCGGAAGCCUGAUGCAGCGGCGCCGCGUGAUGGAUGACGGCCUUCGGGUUGUAAACCGCUUUCGGCAGGGACGAAGCGUAAGUGACGGUAGCUUGUAAAGAAGCACCGGCUAACUACGUG